Molecule: small nucleolar RNA, 124 nt
Organism: Molossus molossus (Pallas's mastiff bat)
Lineage: Eukaryota; Metazoa; Chordata; Mammalia; Chiroptera; Molossidae
Product: small nucleolar RNA SNORA25
Exons: 1
Source: RefSeq, a predicted model, not a curated record
AGGUCACUUCAAAGAGAGCUUGUGGGACCAAAACCAGGAGCUCUUAACACGGUAACCCAACAUUGAAGUUCUUCAUAGGAGGUGACAAACACUCAUUGUCCUGUUUUCCUGAGGAGAUACACGA